AGGGGCGCGGCUGGCCACCUGCUCAGAGCCCGCACCGCCCUUGCCCCGCGUUGGUGUUUAUAUCUGCACACAUUGCCCGGCAGUCGAGGCUCCAGCUGUUCACUGCUGUCUCUACUUUUAGGAACUAAGCCAUAAUAAAGAACACUUUUAAAAGCCUUUGUUCAAUCCCAGCCUUUCCGGUGGACGCACACCUGACGCCCACACCCCGCGAAGGGUGACAAUGCGGUCUGUUUCGAGAGAACUCUAGAAGGGAGUUCUGCCUGAGGAAGCUGUUCUGGUGCCGUUUUUCCAGGGUCAUCGUCAACAAUACGUGGUUUCUCCCACACAAAGCACCUCUCCUUCCCAGGCCGGCCGCUUUCUCAUCUCAGGCCCAUCCCAGAACUCACUGUGUGGUGACCUGACCUCCGCCCCCCUGCACUGACUCUGAGGUCAGACACACCUGGCGUUGCUUUGGGACUAACACAGACCCGGAGUUGGUUACCGACCGGCAGUGUCUCUGUCGUGCUGCGGGAGGACUGGCGCACCUCCACAGGUGACUCGUGGCAGCAAGCGGGCUAAUGCUUACGAAAUACAGCAUUUGGUGUCUGGUAAGCGUGUAACAAGUUCAGAGAAAAACACAGUCUAAAAGUUAAGACACUAGGCACAGAGUUUCACUUCCUUUCAUUCCUGGCUUUUUCAGGGCUAUAUAAUUAAUUCUUUAAUAUUUACAUUUGGUUGAUUUCAUGAAGUUAUAAUUUUCCAAUUAAUGACCUUUUUGAAAAGACCAUUCAGUUUAGCAAGAUGGUCCGAUCGCAGCCAGGUCUCCACAUUGCUGGUGGGAGCGGAGUUCAGCACAGACUGCCUGAGCGGCAGCUUUCUCAAUACCAUCAGCAAGUCUCUUCAUGUUUUUAUCCCAGGGACACACACGGGGAGCUGAACAGACGCACAUCUGCCCCUGGACACACGGCAGCAAGGGUCUGACGGAGUGCACACCCAGCAGUUAACAGAGACAGGACGUAAGUCACCACUGGCCAAGGACAGCCAGCAGGAGACGCUGAGAUGCCCCGAGGCCGGGAGGACCGGGCUCAGGGGGCCGUCCAGGAGCAGGGCUGCCAUGCUGGCCACUGGCCCCUGGCCCAGCUCUGAGGGGACAGACCAGCAGUCGCAAAACUACACCUACGGUGGGGGCGACAGGCACAGGAGAGCCUCCACAGAGGACCGGCGGGGAGGCCGGGCCAUCAGCCAGCGUUUCAACAUGGCCCGCAGCCCCAGGGAGGGUGAUAGAACCCAGACCGAGAGUGUGGCCUGCCGCGACGCUCUGGGGUGGGGAUUCUGGAACUGCUCCCUUUUCUCCUUCGUUUCUUGUCAGUAGUUUCCAAAUAUUCCAUAAUAAGUAUGUGUCACUCUUGUAGUAGCAAGAAAACAAAAAAAGGUGUGUU
Non-coding RNA from Vicugna pacos (alpaca), 1418 nucleotides. The record is from RefSeq and is a predicted model, not a curated record. NCBI's taxonomy places the organism in Eukaryota, Metazoa, Chordata, Mammalia, Artiodactyla, Camelidae.